UAUCAAAUUUGGUUAUUCAAAAAUGAAAGAACUUCAUGGGCAUUUUAGAUGCACGAUGUACACACCGCCUUCCCAAACGGCCACAGUUUGCGCAUUGCGUGUUGUCGUUUUCGUUAUGUGUACAUUUUGUAUAGUCAUUGAUCGCGAAAAGUUCCUUUUGUCCACUGAGAUUAUGAGUGA
This is a non-coding RNA of Caenorhabditis elegans, 180 nucleotides long. Lineage: Eukaryota; Metazoa; Nematoda; Chromadorea; Rhabditida; Rhabditidae. The record is from Ensembl.